GACGAACGCUGGCGGCGUGCCUAAUACAUGCAAGUAGAACGCUGAAGGAGGAGCUUGCUUCUCUGGAUGAGUUGCGAACGGGUGAGUAACGCGUAGGUAACCUGCCUGGUAGCGGGGGAUAACUAUUGGAAACGAUAGCUAAUACCGCAUAACAGUAGAUAUCGCAUGAUAUCUACUUGAAAGGUGCAAUUGCAUCACUACCAGAUGGACCUGCGUUGUAUUAGCUAGUUGGUGAGGUAACGGCUCACCAAGGCGACGAUACAUAGCCGACCUGAGAGGGGGAUCGGCCACACUGGGACUGAGACACGGCCCAGACUCCUACGGGAGGCAGCAGUAGGGAAUCUUCGGCAAUGGACGGAAGUCUGACCGAGCAACGCCGCGUGAGUGAAGAAGGUUUUCGGAUCGUAAAGCUCUGUUGUAAGAGAAGAACGAGUGUGAGAGUGGAAAGUUCACACUGUGACGGUAUCUGACCAGAAAGGGACGGCUAACUACGUG
This 495-nucleotide ribosomal RNA is filed under the name uncultured bacterium. RNAcentral describes it as "partial 16S ribosomal RNA". It matches the Rfam family "Bacterial small subunit ribosomal RNA", at positions 28 to 507 of the family's 1533-position model. The record is from RNAcentral.